Molecule: ribosomal RNA, 431 nt
Filed under: uncultured bacterium
Lineage: Bacteria
Description: partial 16S ribosomal RNA
Rfam family: Bacterial small subunit ribosomal RNA
Source: RNAcentral
CCUACGGGGGCAGCAGUGGGGAAUAUUGGACAAUGGGCGCAAGCCUGAUCCAGCCAUACCGCGUGGGUGAAGAAGGCCUUCGGGUUGUAAAGCCCCUUUGUUGGGAAAGCGGUACCCAAAGAAUAAGCACCGGCUAACUUCGUGCCAGCAGCCGCGGUAAUACGAAGGGUGCAAGCGUUACUCGGAAUUACUGGGCGUAAAGCGUGCGUAGGUGGUUGUUUAAGUCUGUUGUGAAAGCCCUGGGCUCAACCUGGGAAUUGCAGUGGAUACUGGGCGACUAGAGUGUGGUAGAGGGUAGUGGAAUUCCCGGUGUAGCAGUGAAAUGCGUAGAGAUCGGGAGGAACAUCCAUGGCGAAGGCAGCUACCUGGACCAAACUGACACUGAGGCACGAAAGCGUGGGGAGCAAACAGGAUUAGAUACCCUGGUAGUC